This 943-nucleotide ribosomal RNA is filed under the name uncultured bacterium. Its description in RNAcentral is "partial 16S ribosomal RNA". It matches the Rfam family "Bacterial small subunit ribosomal RNA", at positions 19 to 962 of the family's 1533-position model. The record is from RNAcentral.
ANGCNCUAGGACGAACGCUGGCGGCGUGCCUAACACAUGCAAGUCGAGCGAAGAAGCUCCUUCGGGAGGUUCUUAGCGGCGGACGGGUGAGUAACACGUGGGUAACCUGCCUCAAAGAGGGGGAUAGCCUCCCGAAAGGGAGAUUAAUACCGCAUAAUAAGUGCGGUUCGCAUGAACCGCACUUUAAAGGAGAAAUCCGCUUUGAGAUGGACCCGCGGCGCAUUAGCUAGUUGGUAAGGCAAUGGCUUACCAAGGCAACGAUGCGUAGCCGACCUGAGAGGGUGAACGGCCACAUUGGAACUGAGAGACGGUCCAGACUCCUACGGGAGGCAGCAGUGGGGAAUUUUGCACAAUGGGCGAAAGCCUGAUGCAGCACGCCCGUGAGUGAAAAGGUUUUUUCGGAUUGUAAAAGCUCUGUAUUCGGGGACAAAAAUGACCGGGACCAGAAGGAGGGAAGCCCCGGCUAACUACGUGCCCACCAGCCCCGGUAAAAACCUAAGGUGGAAAGCGUUGUCCCGGAAUUUCCUGGGGGGUAAAAGGGUGCCCAGGGGGAAAUUUUAAAUGAGAAGGGAAAAAACCCCGGGNUUUACUUUGGGCGUGCAUUUUUAAAUUGGAUGUUUGGGGUGGCCGGAAAGGAAAAACGGAAUUUCCUAAUGUAACGGGGAAAAGGGUAAAAAUUAAGAAAAAAAACCAAGGGGGAAGGGGGUUCUCUGGGCUGGUACUGAACCUUAAGGACCAAAGCGGGGGGGGCAAAAGGGUAAAAAUCCUGGGGGUUCCCCCCCUAAACAAAGAAUACUAAGGGGCGGGGGGGUUCCCCCCUCCUGGGGCGCGAUAAAACAAUAUAGUACUCCCCCCCGGGGAGAACCUCUCCCGAAGGGAAAUCAAAGGAAUUGUGGGGGGACCCCCCCACUAGCGGACCAUUUGGUUUUUUUUAAUAUACCCC